This 464-nucleotide ribosomal RNA is filed under the name uncultured bacterium. Its description in RNAcentral is "partial 16S ribosomal RNA". It matches the Rfam family "Bacterial small subunit ribosomal RNA", at positions 28 to 506 of the family's 1533-position model. The record is from RNAcentral.
GACGAACGCUGGCGGCGUGCUUAACACAUGCAAGUCGUACGGUAAGGCCCUUUCGGGGGUACACGAGUGGCGAACGGGUGAGUAACACGUGAGUAACCUGCCCACAACUUUGGGAUAACGCUAGGAAACUGGUGCUAAUACUGGAUAUGUGCUCCUGCUGCAUGGUGGGGGUUGGAAAGCUCCGGCGGUUGUGGAUGGACUCGCGGCCUAUCAGCUUGUUGGUGGGGUAGUGGCCUACCAAGGCGGCGACGGGUAGCCGGCCUGAGAGGGUGACCGGCCACAUUGGGACUGAGAUACGGCCCAGCCUCCUCCGGGAGGCAGAGGUGGGGAAUAUUGCACAAUGGGCGCAAGCCUGAUGCAGCAACGCCGGGUGCGGGAUGACGGCCUUCGGGUUUUAAACCGCUUUCAGCAGGGACGAAGCUUUUUGUGACGGUACCUGCAGAAGAAGCCCCGGCUACCUACGU